AACCUGCCCAAGAGACUGGGAUAACACCUGGAAACAGAUGCUAAUACCGGAUAACAACACUAGACGCAUGUCUAGAGUUUAAAAGAUGGUUCUGCUAUCACUCUUGGAUGGACCUGCGGUGCAUUAGCUAGUUGGUAAGGCAACGGCUUACCAAGGCAAUGAUGCAUAGCCGAGUUGAGAGACUGAUCGGCCACAUUGGGACUGAGACACGGCCCAAACUCCUACGGGAGGCAGCAGCG
This 239-nucleotide ribosomal RNA is filed under the name uncultured bacterium. RNAcentral describes it as "partial 16S ribosomal RNA". It matches the Rfam family "Bacterial small subunit ribosomal RNA", at positions 123 to 356 of the family's 1533-position model. The record is from RNAcentral.